UACGGAGGGAGCUAGCGUUGUUCGGAAUUACUGGGCGUAAAGCGCACGUAGGCGGCUUUUUAAGUCAGGGGUGAAAUCCUGGAGCUCAACUCCAGAACUGCCUUUGAUACUGGGAAGCUUGAGUCCGGGAGAGGUGAGUGGAACUCCGAGUGUAGAGGUGAAAUUCGUAGAUAUCUGGAGGAACACCGGUGGCGAAGGCGGCAUCCUGGACCGGCAUUGACGCUGAGGCGCGAAAGCCAGGGGAGCAAACGGG
This 253-nucleotide ribosomal RNA is filed under the name uncultured bacterium. RNAcentral's name for it is "partial 16S ribosomal RNA". It matches the Rfam family "Bacterial small subunit ribosomal RNA", at positions 524 to 776 of the family's 1533-position model. The record is from RNAcentral.